This 397-nucleotide long non-coding RNA is filed under the name Zea mays. RNAcentral describes it as "long non-coding RNA (ZMAY_LNC002928)". The record is from RNAcentral. Lineage: Eukaryota; Viridiplantae; Streptophyta; Magnoliopsida; Poales; Poaceae.
GCCACCUUCGCGCCGACCGCCGUAGCCGCCACCGCCGCCAUAACCGCCGUCACGGCGCCCGCCACCAUAACCGCCGCCGCCGCCGCGACCGCCGCCGUAGCCACCGCCGCCACCGCCACCGCCACGGGACUGGGCCUGGUUAACGGUGAUGUUACGGCCGUCGAGCUCCUUGCCGUUCAUGUUCUCGAUAGCGUCGAGCAUGGAGUUCUCGGAGGAGAAGGUAACGAAGCCGAAGCCGCGGGACCUCCCCGUCUCCCGGUCGGUGAUGACCUGCAUAAUCACAUGAAAACGUCAUGCUCGAUUCGAGCGAACGCAGAUCUGUACCAAAACGAAGCAGAUCUGUUGAACCACGACCCGGAUCUAGCCCCAACGGCACAAACAGACCGCGAAAUGAAAC